RNAcentral lists this long non-coding RNA (385 nucleotides) under Nicotiana benthamiana. RNAcentral describes it as "long non-coding RNA (NBEN_LNC037128)". Lineage: Eukaryota; Viridiplantae; Streptophyta; Magnoliopsida; Solanales; Solanaceae. The record is from RNAcentral.
AUCACUUUCUUAAAGGGCAAUGACAAAUUCAAAAUAAGGAAAGAAAUCAAUUUACAGGCAGACUGAUUACUACCAUAAAAGAAAUAGUAAAACCAUUGAGUAAGUGGUUUAGUCUAAGUACAGGAAUAUACUAGUUUUGAAUGGAUUCAAUAAGGCAAAACAAAGAAAGAAAUCAAUUAACCUUAACAGGCGAGUGAAAUCCGAUUUUCACAAAAGAAAAGUUUGAAAUCAGUCACAAAAUUAAAGAUCAAUUAAAUAGGGAAACUUAGCAUAUAAAUAGAGUGCACAAACACUAUGCACGUGAGGCCAAGCCUAUUGGCAAAAGGAAAUAAUAUGCAAUACUAGCACAAAAAUUCAGCAGACAGCAACAUUCGAAACAAUAUAG